AUGGUGGUGAUGGUGGUGAUGGUGGUGAUGGUGGUGAUGAUGGUGGUGAUGGUGGUGAUGGUGGUGGUGAUGGUGGUGAUGGUGAUGAUGGUGGUGAUGAUGGUGAUGGUGGUGGUGAUGGUGGUGAUGGUGAUGAUGGUGGUGAUGGUGGUGGUGGUGGUGAUGGGGGUGAUGGUGGUGAUGGUGGUGGUGGUGGUGGUGAUGGGGGUGAUGGUGGUGGUGAUGGUGAUGGUGGUGGUGAUGGUGGUGAUGGUGGUGAUGAUGGUGGUGAUGGUGAUGGUGGUGAUGAUGGUGAUGGUGGUGAUGGUGGUGAUGGUGAUGAUGGUGGUGAUGAUGGUGAUGAUGGUGAUGAUGGUGAUGGUGGUGAUGAUGGUGGUGAUGGUGGAGGUGAUGGUGGUGAUGGUGGUGGUCAUGGUGGUGAUGGUGGUGAUGGUGGUGGUGAUGGUGAUGGAGGUGAUGAUGGUGAUGAUGGUGGUGAUGGUGGUGGUGAUGGUGAUGAUGGUGGUGAUGGUGGUGGUGAUGGUGGUGAUGGUGGUGAUGGUGGUGAUGGUGGUAAUGGGUGUGAUGGUGGUGGUGAUGGUGGUGAUGGUGGUGGUGAUGGUGGUGAUGGUGGUGAUGGUGGUGAUGAUGGUGGUGAUGGUGAUGAUGGUGGUGAUGGUGGUGGUGAUGGUGGUGAUGGUGGUGAUGGUGGUGAUGGUGGUAAUGGGUGUGAUGGUGGUGGUGAUGGUGGUGAUGGUGGUGGUGAUGGUGGUGAUGGUGGUGAUGGUGGUGAUGAUGGUGGUGAUGGUGAUGAUGGUGGUGAUGAUGGUGGUGAUGGGGGUGAUGGUGGUGAUCAUGGUGGUGAUGGUGGUGAUGGGUGUGACGGUGGUGGUGAUGGUGGUGAUGGUGGUGAUGGUGGUGGUGAUGGUGGUGAUGGUGGUGAUGGUGGUGAUGAUGGUGGUGAUGGUGAUGAUGGUGGUGAUGGGUGUGAUGGUGGUGAUGGUGGUGAUGGGGUUGAUGGUGAUGGUGAUGGGGGUGAUGGUGGUGAUGGGUGUGAUGGUGGUGAUGAUGGUGGUGAUGGGGUUGAUGGUGGUGGUGAUGGGGGUGAUGGUGGUGUGUGUGUGCGAGUUGAGAGUGGCUCAUUUUCCCCAUUCCCUGCUGGCCAAAAGCAUCAUCAGAACCCAUAGCCAGUGGAGACUUUUGCCAAGAAAGGAAAAGGAAGCAAGGGAGUUUGCAAAGACACUUUGCUGGCUUCCCAGUCAUGGCCACAGUAAAAUCCCGAGAGGAAACGUCUCUGCUUUCACAAGAGUCUAA
Callithrix jacchus (white-tufted-ear marmoset) is the source of this 1293-nucleotide long non-coding RNA. The record is from Ensembl. Lineage: Eukaryota; Metazoa; Chordata; Mammalia; Primates; Cebidae.